GACGAACGCUGGCGGCGUGCCUAAUACAUGCAAGUCGAACGCAGUGGGGCCGGGUGAGUAACACGUGGGUAACCUCCCAUCAGAGGGGAUAACACUUGGAAACAGGUGCUAAACCGAUACUGAUGGAUGGACCCGCGGUGCAUUAGCUAGUUGGUGAGGUAACGGCUCACCAAGGCCACGAUGCAUAACAGACCUGACAGCGUGAUCGAAAACACUGGGACUCGGACACGGCCCAGGCUCCAACGUGAGGCAGCAUUAGGGAAUCCUAGGCAUGGGACGAAAGUCUGACCCACCAAUGCCGCGUGAGUGAAGAAGGUUUUCGGAUGGUAAAGCUCUGUUGUUAGAGAAGCGGUAUCUAACCAGAAGGCCACGGCUAACUACGUGCCAGCAGCCGCGGUAAUUC
This 403-nucleotide ribosomal RNA is filed under the name uncultured bacterium. Its description in RNAcentral is "partial 16S ribosomal RNA". It matches the Rfam family "Bacterial small subunit ribosomal RNA", at positions 28 to 526 of the family's 1533-position model. The record is from RNAcentral.